CUUGGGUCAUUUAGAGGAAGUAAAAGUCGUAACAAGGUCUCCGUUGGUGAACCAGCGGAGGGAUCAUUACCGAGUUUUCAACUCCCAAACCCUUUUGUGAACAUACCUAUCGUUGCUUCGGCGGACUCGCCCCAGCGUCCGGCCGGCCCCGCGCCGGCCGCGGCCUGGAUCCAGGCGGCCGCCGGAGACCCCCAAACUCUGUAUUCUCAGUAUCUUCUGAAUCCGCCGCAAGGCAAAACAAAUGAAUCAAAACUUUCAACAACGGAUCUCUUGGUUCUGGCAUCGAUGAAGAACGCAGCGAAAUGCGAUAAGUAAUGUGAAUUGCAGAAUUCAGUGAAUCAUCGAAUCUUUGAACGCACAUUGCGCCCGCCAGCAUUCUGGCGGGCAUGCCUGUUCGAGCGUCAUUUCAACCCUCGACUUCCCUUUGGGGAAAUCGGCGUUGGGGACCGGCCGUAUACCGCCGGCCCCGAAAUGAAGUGGCGGCCCGUCCGCGGCGACCUCUGCGUAGUAAUCCAACUCGCACCGGAACCCCGACGUGGCCACGCCGUAAAACCCCCGACUUCUGAACGUUGACCUCGGAUCAGGUAGGAAUACCCGCUGAACUUAAGCAUAUCAAUAAGCGGAGGA
This 627-nucleotide ribosomal RNA is filed under the name fungal sp. APA-2013. RNAcentral describes it as "eukaryotic LSU rRNA". The stretch from base 251 to 404 matches the Rfam family "5.8S ribosomal RNA". Lineage: Eukaryota; Fungi. The record is from RNAcentral.